Danio rerio (zebrafish) is the source of this 753-nucleotide non-coding RNA. Lineage: Eukaryota; Metazoa; Chordata; Actinopteri; Cypriniformes; Danionidae. The record is from Ensembl.
CAUCUCUGCCACAAUAAUCCUCUGAUUCUCCUGAAGAAUCCUUACAAGCAGGAUGAUGUUGAACACCCUCCUCUUUGUUGCUGGAUCGCAUACCAUGCCAUAUGACAAAGACAUCCACAUCACUUCUGUUUUUUUGUUUUCUUUGCUUCUGCUACUGAAAAAAUGACAAUAAUAGUAACACUUACAAUUUUUCAUGACUACAUGUAAUAUUAAUAAUAAUUUCCUCACCUGACCACUCCUCUACAUCACAGACCAAAGUCUUCCAACUGGUUUCCGGUCACUGCCAGUUCCAUGGAUUCUGUUUUGCAACUUGCUUUGCAGAGCUGUUGUGGUCUUCUGAUAUCAACAGGUCAGCAAGAUGGCCAAAUUGUUGAACAUCUGCUAAUUCCAGCACAUGACCAUGAUAGUUACAGUAGCAUGUCUGGUCACUGCAAUCCUAUAGAAGAAAUAUUGCACUGUUCAACCUCUUUCCCAAGAGUAAAACCACACAUAUCCUUGUAUGCCUCACUCCAUUUCACAGUCACUGGAGCAAGGCCCUCUCACAGUUGGGAAAAUUCGAGUUCCUUUGAGCCUUGACUGAUUCCAGAGUGGUCUUGGCCUUCCUUACAUGGCGGUGCUUCCUGCAGAUCACCAAGUUGUCAUCAAGACUUGAGCUUAUAAUUGAGAUCCUGAUGAUCAAUCUGAGUAUCAAGGUCUCAUGGUGAUAGGCAGAAACAGACUUGUGGAAAACCGCAGUGAACCUUGGGAUCGCAA